CUCCCAGACAGCCUCUUCCCUCACCUACUCUAGGCCUGGGCUCCUCCCUCGCAUUGCUGCUUCCCUGAUGGCUACACACAGGAAGGGAACCCUACCCACACCAGCCCUGGCCCACUCCUUCCUACCUUCAUUUCUCUUUUCCUUUCUGGUGUCUCUUUCCACUGAGUGUAAAAAGCCCAAAGAACUGCCGAGGACACUGAGCUCAACAUCUACUGAACUCUUCAUAUGAUUCUCAUAUGAUUGGGAAGAUGGAGACCCAGCAAGAGAAAAUCUACCACGCUGUCCUUUAGGACAUGUGUGAAAAGCAUCAGCAUGAGCUACACAGGAGACAGAGGCAGGGGCAGGUUAUACCCAGGUUGAGUCCAGCUGUUGACCCAGUGAACAACACAUAGAGCAGAAUCUUAGAGUAAGGGUCAUUCUCAGGAAGCACAAAGAGCUUCUCUGGAGGAACUAGAAAUUUGAAUUCCAGGAGCAGAGCCCAAGCAGAAAGAAUCAGAGAAACUAGGAAAGUGAUUUAAAGAUAAUAAUAAAAUUCAGCAG
This 540-nucleotide long non-coding RNA is filed under the name Fukomys damarensis (Damara mole-rat). RNAcentral describes it as "lncRNA (ENSFDAG00000024079.1)". The record is from RNAcentral. Lineage: Eukaryota; Metazoa; Chordata; Mammalia; Rodentia; Bathyergidae.